UAUUCUCUCCAAGAGCACAAACCUUUCAGUGAAAGUCUAGACAGUCUCUAUGGCUUGCUCCUGCUUCACUGGAGCUAACAGCCUCCUAAAUGAGCACGACAUGUUCUGGAUGAUUCAAAAUUGGUCCAGCCAUUUUGUGUAAGCCCCUAGUGAUUCCCCGAGCUAUUCCAAAGACCUGAUACUAGAAGAACUAAAGAUACACCACAGUGCUUCACAGGUAAAAAUCAUUUGAGCUGUUACUAAGUCUUGUGG
Non-coding RNA from Peromyscus maniculatus bairdii (prairie deer mouse), 252 nucleotides. The record is from RefSeq and is a predicted model, not a curated record. NCBI's taxonomy places the organism in Eukaryota, Metazoa, Chordata, Mammalia, Rodentia, Cricetidae.